Molecule: ribosomal RNA, 353 nt
Filed under: Salmonella enterica subsp. enterica serovar Newport
Lineage: Bacteria; Pseudomonadati; Pseudomonadota; Gammaproteobacteria; Enterobacterales; Enterobacteriaceae
Description: bacterial SSU rRNA
Rfam family: Bacterial small subunit ribosomal RNA
Source: RNAcentral
ACGAUCCCUAGCUGGUCUGAGAGGAUGACCAGCCACACUGGAACUGAGACACGGUCCAGACUCCUACGGGAGGCAGCAGUGGGGAAUAUUGCACAAUGGGCGCAAGCCUGAUGCAGCCAUGCCGCGUGUAUGAAGAAGGCCUUCGGGUUGUAAAGUACUUUCAGCGGGGAGGAAGGGGUUGUGGUUAAUAACCGCAGCAAUUGACGUUACCCGCAGAAGAAGCACCGGCUAACUCCGUGCCAGCAGCCGCGGUAAUACGGAGGGUGCAAGCGUUAAUCGGAAUUACUGGGCGUAAAGCGCACGCAGGCGGUCUGUCAAGUCGGAUGUGAAAUCCCCGGGCUCAACCUGGGAAC